RNAcentral lists this non-coding RNA (72 nucleotides) under uncultured Pseudodesulfovibrio sp. RNAcentral describes it as "Cyclic di-GMP-I riboswitch". It matches the Rfam family "c-di-GMP-I-GGC riboswitch aptamer". Lineage: Bacteria; Pseudomonadati; Thermodesulfobacteriota; Desulfovibrionia; Desulfovibrionales; Desulfovibrionaceae. The record is from RNAcentral.
UCGAAAAAGCCAAACCUGCCGCGAGGCAGGGACGGAAAGCCACGGAUCUCCCAGAGAUAGCCGGGUUGCCAA